Molecule: small nuclear RNA, 104 nt
Organism: Talpa occidentalis (Iberian mole)
Lineage: Eukaryota; Metazoa; Chordata; Mammalia; Eulipotyphla; Talpidae
Source: RefSeq, a predicted model, not a curated record
GUGCUUGCUUAGGGAGCACAUAUACUAAAAUUGGAAAGAUACGGAGAUUAGCAUGGUCCCUACUCGAGGAUGAUUCACAAAUUUGUAAAGCGUUCCGUAUUUUU